AAGACUAUAGACCUGCGGAGUACCUGCGGAAGGAUCAUUAUCGUAUUGUAACAAUUGGGGGGGCCACCGUGGGCUGUCGCUGACCCUUUGAAAGGGGGGUCGUGCACGCCCCCAUAGUGUCAUCCUCAUACAAUCCAACACACCUCUGUGCAUCACCGCGUGGGUUCCUUUCUGGGUCGAGUCAGACUGGCUCAGAAAAAAGGGGCUUGCGUUUUCCAUACAAAUACCCUUAUAAAUCCA
This 240-nucleotide unclassified non-coding RNA is filed under the name soil metagenome. RNAcentral's name for it is "partial contains 5.8S ribosomal RNA, internal transcribed spacer 2, and large subunit ribosomal RNA". The record is from RNAcentral.